This 1140-nucleotide ribosomal RNA is filed under the name Triticum aestivum (bread wheat). RNAcentral's name for it is "partial small subunit ribosomal RNA". Lineage: Eukaryota; Viridiplantae; Streptophyta; Magnoliopsida; Poales; Poaceae. The record is from RNAcentral.
AUGGCGAGGAGCAUUGCUCUGGUCUGCUUCCUCGUCGUCGGUCUCGGCCUCUUGGGCGCCAUGUGCGCCUCGGCAGCUGCGGCGGGCGGCGAGAACGGAGGGCGGCUGGUGAACGCCGUGUACGUGUUCGGCGACUCGCUGGUGGACGUGGGCAACAACGACUACCUGCCGGCGCCGGCGCCCAGGGCGAACCGGCCGUACGGCAUGGACCUCCCCGGCAAGCCCACAGGCCGCUUCACCAACGGCUACAACCUCGCCGACGUCAUCUCACAACGUGUGGGGUUCGAGAUGAGCCCCAAGCCGUACCUCUCCAUGCUGCCGCACGACAAGAUCUUACUCGGCCUCUGCAAGAUCGGCGCCAACUAUGCUUCCGGUGGAUCCGGCAUCCUCGACACCACGGGAAAAGGGACGCUCACGAUGCGGACACAAGUCGAGUACUUCAAGAAAGCGGCGGACAACAUGAUUUGCUACCCAAGCAAGGAGGAGCACCUUUCGAGGUCCCUCUUCCUCCUCAGUGGCGGCGGCAAUGACUUCUCGGCCUUCGACCCCUCCAGCGCCAGCCCCCAGGCCUACGUCGUCAAGAUGGUCACCACCUACAUCGAGCACAUCCAGGCGCUCUACGACAUGGGGGCACGGAUGGUGGGGAUCCUCGAUGUGCCACCGAUCGGGUGCACGCCGGGGCAGAGGAUCGACAUGCCCAACGGCGAGUGCAACGAGCAGGCCAACUCCCUGGCGCAAGCAUUCAACGGCCUACUCAGGGCCAAGCUCGCCGAGGCCGCCGCUGCCAACAUGAAGGAACUCAAGUACUCCAUCGCCGCCAACUACAACAUCCUCAACGACAUGAUGGCCAACUCUCUCGUAGCUGGGCUGAGGCAGGUGAAGACGGCGUGCUGCGGUUCGGGGAAGCUCAACGCGGAGGUGAUGUGCAGCCACCAGGGCACGACGGCGUGCCCCGCCGCUGAGCACGACGACUACAUGUUCUGGGACAUGCUCCACCCCACUCACGCCACUAUCCAGCGCGGUGUCGUCGCCCUCUUCUACGGCAACGGCCCCAAGUACGGCGAGCCCGUCAACUUCGGCACGCUCGUCACGGGCCAGAACGUAUCUCCCGCGAUCAAGAUGGUCGUCGACGAGCAGUAG